UACAGAGGGGGCAAGCGUUGUUCGGAAUUACUGGGCGUAAAGGGCGCGUAGGCGGCCUGUUAAGUCGAACGUGAAAUCCCCGGGCUCAACCCGGGAACUGCGCUUAAAACUGUGGGACUCGAGGGAGAUAGAGGAAAGCGGAACUGAUGGUGGAGCGGUGAAAUGCGUUGAUAUCAUCAGGAACACCGGUGGCGAAGGCGGCUUUCUGGGUCUUACCUGACGCUGAGGAACGAAAGCUAGGGGAGCGAACGGG
This 253-nucleotide ribosomal RNA is filed under the name uncultured bacterium. Its description in RNAcentral is "partial 16S ribosomal RNA". It matches the Rfam family "Bacterial small subunit ribosomal RNA", at positions 524 to 776 of the family's 1533-position model. The record is from RNAcentral.